RNAcentral lists this ribosomal RNA (436 nucleotides) under uncultured cyanobacterium. RNAcentral describes it as "bacterial SSU rRNA". It matches the Rfam family "Bacterial small subunit ribosomal RNA", at positions 46 to 526 of the family's 1533-position model. The record is from RNAcentral. Lineage: Bacteria; Bacillati; Cyanobacteriota.
GCUUAACACAUGCAAGUCGAACGGUGUCUUCGGACACAGUGGCGGACGGGUGAGUAACGCGUGAGAAUCUGCCUUCAGGUCUGGGACAACCACUGGAAACGGUGGCUAAUACCGGAUGUGCCGAAAGGUGAAAGGUUAACUGCCUGAAGAUGAGCUCGCGUCUGAUUAGCUAGUUGGAAGUGUAAUGGACUCCCAAGGCGACGAUCAGUAGCUGGUCUGAGAGGACGAUCAGCCACACUGGGACUGAGACACGGCCCANACUCCUACGGGAGGCAGCAGUGGGGAAUUUUCCGCAAUGGGCGAAAGCCUGACGGAGCAAUACCGCGUGAGGGAGGAAGGCUCUUGGGUCGUAAACCUCUUUUCUCAGGGAAGAACACAAUGACGGUACCUGAGGAAUAAGCAUCGGCUAACUCCGUGCCAGCAGCCGCGGUAAUAC